RNAcentral lists this ribosomal RNA (786 nucleotides) under Gyrinicola japonica. RNAcentral's name for it is "partial large subunit ribosomal RNA". It matches the Rfam family "Eukaryotic large subunit ribosomal RNA", at positions 355 to 946 of the family's 3401-position model. The record is from RNAcentral. Lineage: Eukaryota; Metazoa; Nematoda; Chromadorea; Rhabditida; Pharyngodonidae.
GAGGGAAAGUUGCAAAGAACUUUGAAGAGAGAGUUCAAGAGGGCGUGAAACCGCUGAGAAGGAAACGGAUAGAGUUGACGAAACACAGCGGCAUUCAUCCGACCUGUCCUGGCAACUGGCUGCCCGGUAUAGAUCGUUCUCCUCGGGGAAUGACGGUCUGGCUGUCAGCUUAGUCGGCUGGUUGGUGCUUUUGCCGUUGGUAUGCGCGGAGACGUUCGCUGUGGCGUGUCGACGUCGAUGUCAGAGGACCAGUGCCAAAUGGUACUGGAAACCUGACUCGGCUUAGGUAUGUUCGCGGUGAAACGGUAACCACAUACGCCGCUUGCUAGUUGCGUAGCUGCCUCUGCAUAGUUGGGUGCGUUGUUGGGCGAUCGCGUGCGAUUUGUCUACAGCUGUAUUCCGGCUUGUUUCUGGCUAGUUACGUUGGCGGUGUAUCUCCGUGUAAAAGUCAGCCACCUAUCCGACCCGUCUUGAAACACGGACCAAGGAGUUUAGCAUAUGCGCAAGUCAUUGGGUGGUAAACCUAAAGGCGUAAUGAAAGUAAAGACUGCUUCGAGCGGUUGAUAUGGGAUCUGUGCUUGCUUGCAGGCGCAGCGCACCAUAGCCCCGUUCUUGUUGCUUGCAAUAGGGCGGAGGUAGAGCGUAUACGCUGAGACCCGAAAGAUGGUGAACUAUGCCUGAGCAGGAUGAAGCCAGAGGAAACUCUGGUGGAAGUCCGAAGCGGUUCUGACGUGCAAAUCGAUCGUCUGACUUGGGUAUAGGGCGAAAGACAAAUCGAACCAUCUA